RNAcentral lists this transfer RNA (82 nucleotides) under Trichonephila inaurata madagascariensis. It matches the Rfam family "tRNA". From Rfam's summary of the family: Transfer RNA (tRNA) molecules are approximately 80 nucleotides in length. Their secondary structure includes four short double-helical elements and three loops (D, anti-codon, and T loops). Further hydrogen bonds mediate the characteristic L-shaped molecular structure. tRNAs have two regions of fundamental functional importance: the anti-codon, which is responsible for specific mRNA codon recognition, and the 3' end, to which the tRNAs corresponding amino acid is attached (by aminoacyl-tRNA synthetases). tRNAs cope with the degeneracy of the genetic code in two manners: having more than one tRNA (with a specific anti-codon) for a particular amino acid; and 'wobble' base-pairing, i.e. permitting non-standard base-pairing at the 3rd anti-codon position. The record is from Rfam by way of RNAcentral. Lineage: Eukaryota; Metazoa; Arthropoda; Arachnida; Araneae; Nephilidae.
GACGAGGUGUCUGAGUGGUUAAGGCGAUGGACUGCUAAUCCAUUGGGCUCUGCCCGCGUGGGUUUGAAUCCCAUCCUUGUCG